This is a long non-coding RNA of Triticum aestivum (bread wheat), 1395 nucleotides long. RefSeq lists it as uncharacterized. Lineage: Eukaryota; Viridiplantae; Streptophyta; Magnoliopsida; Poales; Poaceae. The record is from RefSeq and is a predicted model, not a curated record. The transcript has 2 exons.
UUUGAGGAAUAUUCUCAGCAUCUUGGCUAUCCCUAUCCUUUCGUGCCUCUAAACCAAACGGGUGGCAUCCCUCAGAAAAUUGGCUAUCCCUUUCCAACCAACCAAGGGAUAACGGAUGAACCAAACGCCACCUAAAUGGAUAAGGGAGAGUAGCCAGGAAGCGAUGCCCCAGCCGCAUGAUCCCCAAUUCACACGACCAGCACAUGCCCCCACGGCCGGUCGGGCGAGGAGCUUCCGCUGCGCUCUUCCUCGUCGGAGGAGCCGCCGGGGAGGCUGGUGCCAGGCGUGACGCCAUUGGAGAGGCUGCUCGCGAACCCGAGCACGGUCGGGCUCCAUGUGCCAGCGCGAGCGGAGUGCGUGCUUGAAGACGAGGGCACCGCGCGCCAGCAGUAUCUCGCUGGCGCCUGAAGGUGUCGGUGCCGACCGCCGCAGGCGCGCGUGGAGACGGGCUGGGCACCGCCGAGACGUGAGCAUUCGUGGCCAUUGGUCGCCGCUUCCGUCGGCCGCCGGAAGUUCAGUCGCGCAGGGGCCGAGCCGCGCGCAGCCGCCGCGGAUGCCUUAGGCGGUCGUGCCACAGGGCCGCGGGAAGCCGCGCUAGUGGAGCCGCUGCGUCGCGGCCGGUCCGCUGAUGCGUCAUGUGCUCGAGGCCUCCUUGCUGGUGCAUGGCUGAGGGCAGGCGACUGGCGAGAGCCCAAGGGUGGAUUUGGAUGGGAUAUCAACCCGGCCGGGUUUAACCGAAGACGCAUAUAAGGUAGGUCGGGAUCCAACCCCGACCGGGGUCAAAAGCACGUGGAUUAGGCCAAAACCCCGCCGAUCCCGGCGGGGGCGGGGAUUAAACGAACAAAGCCUCUGAUUUUUGCGUGGGUUGGGGGCGGCGCCGGCGAGGGUUUCCAGAACAAACGAGGUGAUGCAAGAGGGUUGAAUAGUUGUGGUGGAGCCGGUGCCCCGCUGACCGUCGGGCUCAGGCGCUCAGCCGUCGACCCCCAACCUGGACCCAUUAUCUGAUCCGUGGCCCAGACGAAAAAAGUCACGUCCUGGUCCACGACCCACUACGACGCGCGCUAGAGUCCUUCACGCCGUUGCGCUUCGGGCCCAGUCCUUCGCAACUGUUUCGUACCGUAUUCCCCGGCGCCAACGAUUUACCACAUCUCGAUUCUGACACGGCAGCUGGAUUUGUUCACAUCCCCAGCAUGGAACGGACGAGCAGGAUUUCGGGCUCAGCUGAGCCCGAGCACCAAAUCGCCGCGUCCUUCCAAUUUAGCUACCUACUGUACAUUUCAUAUGAUUUAACCUAGUUUUUCGUUCAUGUAAUUGUCUUUAGUUUCUAUAAGUUGUAAAUAUAUCCACUGCAUCUAUGCCCUAAUAUUACCAUUAUAAAAUUCUCAGAUACAUCAA